CAAUAGCGUAUAUUAAAGUUGUUGCAGUUAAAAAGCUCGUAGUUGGAUUUGUGGCGUACGGUGUGUUCCGGGCACUUGUUGUCUGAGUAACCUGCUGUUGCCAUCCUUGGGUGGAACCUGUGUGGCAUUAGGUUGUCGUGCAGGGGAUGCCCAUCAUUUACUGUGAAAAAAUUAGAGUGUUCAAAGCAGGCUUAUGCCGUUGAAUAUAUUAGCAUGGAAUAAUGAGAUAGGACUUUUUUGCUAUUUUGUUGGUUUGUGCAAAGAGGUAAUGAUUAAUAGGGACAGUUGGGGGUAUUCGUAUUCCAUUGUCAGAGGUGAAAUUCUUGGAUUUUUGGAAGACGAACUACUGCGAAAGCAUUUACCAAGGAUGUUUUCAUUAA
Molecule: ribosomal RNA, 380 nt
Filed under: uncultured eukaryote
Lineage: Eukaryota
Description: partial 18S ribosomal RNA
Rfam family: Eukaryotic small subunit ribosomal RNA
Source: RNAcentral